RNAcentral lists this transfer RNA (67 nucleotides) under Cheumatopsyche sp. XG-2022. Its description in RNAcentral is "tRNA-Gly". Lineage: Eukaryota; Metazoa; Arthropoda; Insecta; Trichoptera; Hydropsychidae. The record is from RNAcentral.
AUUUAUAUAAUAUAAAUUAAGUAUAUUUAACUUCCAAUUAAAAAGUUUAUUUUCAAUAAUAUAAAUA